UUACGGCCAUAUCACGUUGAAACAUCGAUUUCCGUACGAUCACCGAAGUUAAACAACGUCGAGUCCGGUCACUACCUAGAUGGGUGACCGCUUGAAAAUACCAGGUGCU
Molecule: non-coding RNA, 109 nt
Organism: Acanthosepion pharaonis
Lineage: Eukaryota; Metazoa; Mollusca; Cephalopoda; Sepiida; Sepiidae
Source: the annotation of a GenBank genome assembly